AGGAGCGGCCCGAUGGCCGAUUAGCUAGUUGGGGAGGUAAAGGCUCACCAAGGCGACGAUCGGUAGCUGGUCUGAGAGGACGACCAGCCACACUGGGACUGAGACACGGCCCAGACUCCUACGGGAGGCAGCAGUGGGGAAUUUUGGACAAUGGGGGCAACCCUGAUCCAGCCAUGCCGCGUGCGGGAUGAAGGCCUUCGGGUUGUAAACCGCUUUUGUCAGGGACGAAAAGGGACUCGCUAAUACCGGGUUCUGCUGACGGUACCUGAAGAAUAAGCACCGGCUAACUAC
This 291-nucleotide ribosomal RNA is filed under the name uncultured bacterium. RNAcentral's name for it is "partial 16S ribosomal RNA". It matches the Rfam family "Bacterial small subunit ribosomal RNA", at positions 221 to 504 of the family's 1533-position model. The record is from RNAcentral.